Molecule: long non-coding RNA, 263 nt
Filed under: Lathyrus oleraceus (garden pea)
Lineage: Eukaryota; Viridiplantae; Streptophyta; Magnoliopsida; Fabales; Fabaceae
Description: Pisum sativum (pea) long non-coding RNA (PSAT_LNC000827)
Source: RNAcentral
AAAAUAAUUUGGAAAUCACUCGGAGAUAUCUUUACUGGAAGGUCCACUUCUCAAAUGACAGUUUUAUGAGAACCGUCGAACGCUUUAACAACCACGCCACUAAACCUCAUCGGGGCGCCUUGAUAGGAGAGUCUUGAUAGAGUUGACUUCGGUAACACAUUCAAUAAUGACCUUGUAUCAACCAUAACAUUAGACAAAGCAUCCUCCUUGUAAUUCAUCGAAAUAUGGAGCGCCAAAUUGUGAUUCAUGCCUUCCUCAGGAAA